CGGGGGAGCAAGCGUUGUUCGGAUUACUGGGCGUAAAGGGCGCGUAGGCGGUCAGCACGAGUCAGUUGUGAAAUCUCCGGGCUUAACUCGGAAAGGUCAACUGAUACUGUGCGACUAGAGUGCGGAAGGGGCAACUGGAAUUCUCGGUGUAGCGGUGAAAUGCGUAGAUAUCGAGAGGAACACCUGCGGCGAAGGCGGGUUGCUGGGCCGACACUGACGCUGAUGCGCGAAAGCCAGGGGAGCGAACGGGAUUAGAUACCCCGGUAGUCCUGGCCUUAAACGAUGGAUGCUUGGUGUCUGGAGUUUUAUAGUCUCCGGGUGCCGUAGCUAACGCGUUAAGCAUCCCGCCUGGGGAGUACGGUCGCAAGACUG
Molecule: ribosomal RNA, 372 nt
Filed under: uncultured organism
Description: bacterial SSU rRNA
Rfam family: Bacterial small subunit ribosomal RNA
Source: RNAcentral